AUCGCUUCUCGGCUCUCUGAGCUAAGAUCAUGUGUAGUAUCUGUUCUUUGCAGUGUAAUUUCUG
Non-coding RNA from Trichobilharzia regenti, 64 nucleotides. Lineage: Eukaryota; Metazoa; Platyhelminthes; Trematoda; Strigeidida; Schistosomatidae. The record is from Rfam.